This is a non-coding RNA of Triticum urartu, 509 nucleotides long. The record is from RefSeq and is a predicted model, not a curated record. Lineage: Eukaryota; Viridiplantae; Streptophyta; Magnoliopsida; Poales; Poaceae.
UCCCUACAAGUUUGUUCUUUUUGUUGUUACAGCAAAGACUACUUCCUGGGUUGUCGAGGAUGCUAGGUCAAGAAUGCAGGGUGGGCGAAAGAAAAUUGUGAAUGCUUUUAUCUCCGUGGUCAUUUGGAUCAUAUGGAGGGACAAGAUAGCGGGCUUUAAUAGUGUCUUCGCGCUGCUCCAGAGAGUCAUCGAUCCUGAUACUAGGCAGUAGGCUGGUGUGAGCUUGGGUCAUUUGAUCAUCCCCGAUUGUGUAAAGACUCCUCUGGAAUAUAUGCAAUCCUAUUGCAUGGUUUAAAAAAGAAUGAUUCUGAAACGGGCGUAAAGCAGUGUACGUGCUUGGCCACAGCUAAACCUACUAAUAUAUGGAAUUUUUUUCAAAGCACAGAUGGUGUUAGUGGGUCUCUGCUCCAGUUGGCGCAACGGGUGGUAUCAUGCCCAUGCCUAUAUGACACGAUAUACUUCUUUGUAAUGUAAUCAGUUGUGCAUGUCAAUGGAAGUGGUUUAAAGCA